CAGGGUCUUGCUCUGUUGCCCAGGCUGAAGUGCAGUAGCAUGAUCUUGGCUCAAGUCAACCUCCACCUCCCGAGUUCAAGCAAUCCUCCCAUUUCAGCCUCCUGAGUAGCUGAUACCACAGCAGGCAGAAGGGAAGAUGAGUUCGUUUUCAAAAAUACCAACGUUGAAACUCUGCACAAGUUUGUUAUUUAUUUAUUCCCAGAGAGAGAGACACCUUCCCAUUGUAAAGCAUUCCAGAAUUCCUUCCUCUGAGAGCGGGACAGGAUCCUCUCUAGAAUGUUGAUCUUAUGACCUACAGUCAAACAAGGAUUAGCAAAUGUGGCAUUGCUUUCCCAUUAGGAUUAGCUGUCAACCAUCAGCUGUAAUAGUAGAAAAAUCACAGCUGUUCUCCAAGCAAGCCCAGAAGAUGAUGCUAGGAAGUUACUAUCAGUUUCUAUCCAG
This 441-nucleotide long non-coding RNA is filed under the name Homo sapiens (human). RNAcentral describes it as "HSALNT0191450". The record is from RNAcentral. Lineage: Eukaryota; Metazoa; Chordata; Mammalia; Primates; Hominidae.